This 497-nucleotide ribosomal RNA is filed under the name uncultured bacterium. Its description in RNAcentral is "partial 16S ribosomal RNA". It matches the Rfam family "Bacterial small subunit ribosomal RNA", at positions 28 to 507 of the family's 1533-position model. The record is from RNAcentral.
GAUGAACGCUGGCGGCGUGCCUAAUACAUGCAAGUCGAACGAACGGACGAGAAGCUUUCUUCUCUGAUUUUAGCGGCGGACGGGUGAGUAACACGGGGAUAACCUACCUAUAAGACUGGGAUAACUUCGGGAAACCGUAGCUUAGACCGGAUAAUAUUUCGAACCUCAUUGUUCAAAAGUUGAAGACGGUCUUUCUUUCACUUACAGAUUGAUCAGCGCUGCAUUAGCUAGUUGGUAAGGUAGCGGCUUAGCAAGGCAACGAUGCAUAGCCGACCUGAGAGGGUGAAUGGAUACACUGGCACUGAGAAUCAGUAGCGACACCUACAGGAGGAAGCAGUCGGGAAUCCUACGCAAUGCGGCAAAGCCUGAUGGAGCACAGCCGCGUAAGUCCUGAAGGACCUAGGCUGGUAAAACUAUGAAAUCCGGGAAGAACAUAAGUGUAAGUACCUGUGAACAUAUUGACGGUACCUAAUGAGAAAGCCCCGGCUAACUCCGUG